Molecule: ribosomal RNA, 498 nt
Filed under: uncultured bacterium
Lineage: Bacteria
Description: partial 16S ribosomal RNA
Rfam family: Bacterial small subunit ribosomal RNA
Source: RNAcentral
AUUGAACGCUGGCGGCAUGCUUUACACAUGCAAGUCGAACGGUAACAGGCCGCAAGGUGCUGACGAGUGGCGAACGGGUGAGUAAUGCAUCGGAACGUGCCCAGUCGUGGGGGAUAACGCAGCGAAAGCUGUGCUAAUACCGCAUACGAUCUGUGGAUGAAAGCGGGGGACCGUAAGGCCUCGCGCGAUUGGAGCGGCCGAUGUCAGAUUAGGUAGUUGGUGGGGUAAAGGCUCACCAAGCCGACGAUCUGUAGCUGGUCUGAGAGGACGACCAGCCGCACUGGGACUGAGACACGGCCCAGACUCCUACGGGAGGCAGCAGUGGGGAAUUUUGGACAAUGGGCGCAAGCCUGAUCCAGCAAUGCCGCGUGCAGGAAGAAGGCCUUCGGGUUGUAAACUGCUUUUGUACGGAGCGAAAAGGCUCUCUCUAAUACAGGGGGCUCAUGACGGUACCGUAAGAAUAAGCACCGGCUAACUACGUGCCAGCAGCCGCCGCAG